UUAACUUUAGCCCAUUUGUUCACACCCA
RNAcentral lists this non-coding RNA (28 nucleotides) under Homo sapiens (human). The record is from RNAcentral. Lineage: Eukaryota; Metazoa; Chordata; Mammalia; Primates; Hominidae.